Non-coding RNA from Chrysemys picta bellii (western painted turtle), 275 nucleotides. Lineage: Eukaryota; Metazoa; Chordata; Testudines; Emydidae. The record is from RefSeq and is a predicted model, not a curated record.
CAAUAACAUUGCCUCUGCAUUCCCAGGGCACAGCCAAUAUCGCUUAUUAACAGAAGAGAGAUUCAUUACUAUAAGAAGCAGCAUCCCCUCUUCAUAAAUUCACAGCUCAAUGACAGGCAGAGGAUAACCAACCUCAAAGAAAUGAAGCAUGGAAAAAUCUCAUGUCUUUAAGCUGGAAACAAAGAAGUGAACCGGCAGCUCACGACAAGUAAGCUCUUCGCAAACUACCAGCAAGUGUCUGCCACCCACAUGGGGCCAUGGACUAACUUCAAAAA